This 470-nucleotide ribosomal RNA is filed under the name uncultured bacterium. RNAcentral's name for it is "bacterial SSU rRNA". It matches the Rfam family "Bacterial small subunit ribosomal RNA", at positions 335 to 800 of the family's 1533-position model. The record is from RNAcentral.
ACUCCUACGGGAGGCAGCAGUGAGGAAUAUUGGACAAUGGGCGGGAGCCUGAUCCAGCCAUGCCGCGUGCAGGAAGACGGUCCUAUGGAUUGUAAACUGCUUUUGUACGGGAAGAACAAGGGGCACGCGUGCCCCCUGACCGGAUGACCGUAAGAAUAAGGAUCGGCUAACUCCGUGCCAGCAGCCGCGGUAAUACGGAGGAUCCGAGCGUUAUCCGGAAUCAUUGGGUUUAAAGGGUCCGUAGGCGGGCCGUUAAGUCAGGGGUGAAAGUCUGCGGCUCAACCGUAGAAUUGCCCUUGAUACUGGUGGCCUUGAGUUAUGGUGAAGUAACUAGAAUAUGUAGUGUAGCGGUGAAAUGCAUAGAUAUUACAUAGAAUACCGAUUGCGAAGGCAGGUUACUAACCAUAUACUGACGCUGAUGGACGAAAGCGUGGGUAGCGAACAGGAUUAGAUACCCUGGUAGGUCAGUC